Molecule: ribosomal RNA, 468 nt
Filed under: uncultured bacterium
Lineage: Bacteria
Description: partial 16S ribosomal RNA
Rfam family: Bacterial small subunit ribosomal RNA
Source: RNAcentral
GACGAAUGCUGGCGGCGUGCUUAACACAUGCAAGUCGAACGGAAAGGCCCUGCUUUGGUGGGGUGCUCGAGUGGCGAACGGGGGAGUAACACGAGAGUAACCUGCCCCUGACUUUGGGAUAACUUCAGGAAACUGGGGCUAAUACCGGAUAGGAGCUCCUGCUGCAUGGCGGGGGUUGGAAAGUUUCGGCGGUUGGGGAUUGACUCGCGGCUUAUCAGCCUGUUGGUGGGGUAGUGGCUUACCAAGGCUUUGACGGGUAGCCGGCCUGAGAGGGUGUCCGGCCACAUUCCGACUCUGGUCCUGCCCUGACUCCUCCUGGUGGCAGCAGUGUGGAUUGUUGCACGUUGGACGGAAGCCUGGUGCAGAAACGCCGCGUGCCGGAUGACGGCCUUCGAAUUGUAGCCCGCUUUCGCCUGUGAGGAACAGUGAGUGCCGGUACUGCGUAGAGCAGCCCCGGCUCCCUACGUG